RNAcentral lists this ribosomal RNA (482 nucleotides) under uncultured bacterium. RNAcentral's name for it is "partial 16S ribosomal RNA". It matches the Rfam family "Bacterial small subunit ribosomal RNA", at positions 30 to 507 of the family's 1533-position model. The record is from RNAcentral.
AUUGAACGCUGGCGGCAUGCCUUACACAUGCAAGUCGAACGGUAACGGGCCUUCCUUUGCCGACUAAUGUCGCACGGGUGCGUAAUACAUCGGAACGUGCCCCAUCCUUGUGGAUAACGAGGCGAAAGCUUUUCUAAUACCUCAUACGAUCUACGGAUUAAAGCAGGGGGCCUCAAGGCCUUGCGCGGACUUUGCUGUCGCUGGCAGAUUAGUUAGUUGGUGGUAUAAAAGCUUACCAAGCCGACGAUCAGUAGCGGGUCUGAGAGGAUGAUCAGCCACACUGGAACUGAGACACGGCCCAGACUCCUACGGGAGGCAGCAGUGGGGAAUUUUGGACAAUGGGCGAAAGCCUGAUCCAGCAAUGCCGCGUGAAGGAUGAAGGCCUUCGGGUUGUAAACUGCUUUUGUAAGGAAAGAAAAGCCUUCUUUUAAUACAGGAGGGUCAUGACGGUACCGUAAGAAUAAGCACCGGCUAACUACGUG